UACGGAGGGGGCAAGCGUUGUUCGGAUUUACUGGGCGUAAAGGGCGCGUAGGCGGCGUGACAAGUCACUUGUGAAAUCUCCGGGCUUAACUCGGAACUGCCAAGUGAUACUGUCGUGCUAGAGUGCAGAAGGGGCAAUCGGAAUUCUUGGUGUAGCGGUGAAAUGCGUAGAUAUCAAGAGGAACGCCAGAGGCGAAGGCGGAUUGCUGGGCUGACACUGACGCUGAGGCGCGAAAGCUAGGGUAGCAAACGGG
Molecule: ribosomal RNA, 253 nt
Filed under: uncultured bacterium
Lineage: Bacteria
Description: partial 16S ribosomal RNA
Rfam family: Bacterial small subunit ribosomal RNA
Source: RNAcentral